RNAcentral lists this transfer RNA (76 nucleotides) under compost metagenome. Its description in RNAcentral is "tRNA-Arg". It matches the Rfam family "tRNA". From Rfam's summary of the family: Transfer RNA (tRNA) molecules are approximately 80 nucleotides in length. Their secondary structure includes four short double-helical elements and three loops (D, anti-codon, and T loops). Further hydrogen bonds mediate the characteristic L-shaped molecular structure. tRNAs have two regions of fundamental functional importance: the anti-codon, which is responsible for specific mRNA codon recognition, and the 3' end, to which the tRNAs corresponding amino acid is attached (by aminoacyl-tRNA synthetases). tRNAs cope with the degeneracy of the genetic code in two manners: having more than one tRNA (with a specific anti-codon) for a particular amino acid; and 'wobble' base-pairing, i.e. permitting non-standard base-pairing at the 3rd anti-codon position. The record is from RNAcentral.
UGCGGUCGUAGCUCAGUUGGAUAGAGCAUCAGCCUUCUAAGCUGAGGGUCGGUGGUUCGAAUCCACCCGGGCGCAU